Molecule: non-coding RNA, 293 nt
Organism: Paramuricea clavata
Lineage: Eukaryota; Metazoa; Cnidaria; Anthozoa; Malacalcyonacea; Plexauridae
Source: the annotation of a GenBank genome assembly
GCUCUAAAUUAAAAUACGUACCAAAUAAAUCACUGUCAUCCAUCUGUAUCUCGAAACUAUCAGACACCGAAUAUGUCGAAGACGAUGGCUGUCCACUCGUUUCUUGGCCAUCGCUGGACACAGAAUCGAUAUUCUCUUCUUGUUGCUUAAUGGGAGAUUUCUUCCUUUCGCCUUCCAUACGAACAAAACCUUGCAAAAUGCGGCCUACAUUCGAACGAUAUUGUAAAAAUGCUUUGCUCACAAUCCUUCACAUCGAGCUUCACAUUGAAAUGAACCUCUUCUGUGACUGUGAC